AUUGAACGCUGGCGGCAUGCUUUACACAUGCAAGUCGAGCGGCAGCGCGGGGGCAACCCUGGCGGCGAGCGGCGAACGGGUGAGUAAUGCAUCGGAACGUACCCUGGAGUGGGGGAUAACGCCGCGAAAGCGGCGCUAAUACCGCAUAUGCUCUGAGGAGGAAAGUGGGGGACCGCAAGGCCUCACGCUCUGGGAGCGGCCGAUGUCCGAUUAGCUAGUUGGUGGGUAAAGGCUUACCAAGGCGACGAUCGGUAGCUGGUCUGAGAGGAUGAUCAGCCACACUGGGACUGAGACACGGCCCAGACUCCUACGGGAGGCAGCAGUGGGGAAUUUUGGACAAUGGGGGCAACCCUGAUCCAGCCAUGCCGCGUGAGUGAAGAAGGCCUUCGGUUGUAAAGCUCUUUGUCGGUAGAAGACGCUGCCUAAUACGCGAGGUGGUUGACGGUACGGCAGAAUAAGACACCGGC
This 467-nucleotide ribosomal RNA is filed under the name uncultured bacterium. RNAcentral describes it as "bacterial SSU rRNA". It matches the Rfam family "Bacterial small subunit ribosomal RNA", at positions 29 to 497 of the family's 1533-position model. The record is from RNAcentral.